GCUCCCCGCCAGCCGUGUGUGAGCCGGGGUGUGCAGCGCUGCCCGGCCCGACGCCAGGCCCGCUCCGAGGGCUCCUGCUCGUUCCCAAACAGAGGUCUGCGUAUGGAUUUUCUUCUCCCUUGCAGCAUAUCCCCCGCACUCGGGGUGUCUGGCGUUAAAAAUAAGGGAAGAGAGGCGAAAUUACGAUUAACCAUACACAUACUGCGUUAUAAGAUGUUUUUCAAAGGGCUUUUCUCUCGUUUGCGGGAUGGUAGGUUUAAAACGGCAGACAGGAGGAGAUAGGAAGAAAAUAAACCACUGUGCAAACCAGUAGGAUUGCAAUAAAUAAUAAAUUGUAGGCCACAACAGUAUUUUUUUGAGCUCACAGAUAAUAUAAAAAUACAGUUCCUAAGCAAGUAACAAAAAAGAUGGGGGGAGGAGAAGAGGAGGGGAAAAAAAGAAGGAGGGGGGAGAGAAAGUUCCUGUGCACUUUGUUCAAGGUUCUGCACCUCUCUAAGCAGCUGUCACAUCCGUACAUUAUGGUACAUUGAAUCUGAAUGAGGCUCUCCACAUCAAAACCUUGCAUCCAUUAUGAUAUCAUCUCCUGCUCUAAGCUGUAAUGCUUAUUAAUUCUGCACCCAUACUCUCCAAGCUUCAGCAAAUGUAUUCCAUCAGCCUAGCAUUUAAUUUAAUUAGUACAGCUGGGCUCUCAUUCUCCUUUCUGUGUCAGAGUGCCUUCGUGUGCUGUAUGGAAAACAAACAGGAGAGUUAAGACUGUAUUUCUCACUUCCAGUAACUGAGUCCUGGAUUCUGUUGCUGAGACUGAAUAGAACAGGCUACAUGGUGUUCACAAAUUUAAACUGAGGACCAGAGAACAGAGGAAGCUUAGCACCAGUCCCUUCUUUUCAGAUUGGAAAGAAAGUUAGAAAAAAAAAAGGGAGUAUAGUGGAAAACAGAGUUGGAUGGAUAGAGGAUUCUGUAAUUCUCCAGUCUUUGGUUUUCUCACAAAGCAUAUGAGAUGUCUAUCCCAGCCAUAAGCCCAGGAUUUCUGCAGUAGCAACAAUCAGAGCAUCGGGACACUUUGGUGGAACGUAAGGCAACAAACUGAUGGCACAGUUGGACCUAAUGCAACAGAAGAGCAAUCUAACCCUCUGGGUGACCCAGGGGCUGUCCUGGUAAAGCAGCAGAAGUGAAUCAUCCUCACUAGAAGAGGAGCUGAAAGGUUUGGAUAGUUUCAUAGCAGUCACUGUCUCAGCAAGCUAUGCCUCAUUGUGAUCUACUCAUGCCAAAGAUAUGAGAAGGAGCUUCUCCAGCACUGGAACAUCUACAAAGGAAACAGAAGAAAAUAUAUACCCUCAUUUUGCAUAUACUGCUGGGGCAUCAAAUGGAAAAUAUACUGUCACCUUCCCCAGGAAAUACAAAUAUAUGAUGUUAAAUAUAUACGAAAUAUGUGAAAACAUUUCUGCCAUUGCCAUAAAAAUAUGAUCUUUUGGUACAUGUGCUUGGAUACUCGUAAAAAAGUGAUUUCUUAAAGCUGUAACAUGUUCUGGUGGGUUCGUGAUAAUGACGACAGUCUCUAAACACUUCAAUGAGGAGCUCUAAGUUGCCUCAGUCUCUUUGAAGCUAAGCCUGAUGCUAAGCCAUGCUCCAUUUUAAAGCACUACCUUCAACUUUGAUGAUUUCAUCAAAUGACUGGAUUGCAUUGCAGUGGGAUAACCUAAUCUUCACUCCAUACUUUCUACUCAUAAGCCUCUUGAAAAACUGUUUUGCACUUUGGUUUUGGAAUAUGUAUUCUGCACUUGGAUGGUGUGGUUUCAACUUCAGACCCUAUUGAAAGGGGAAACAAAUCUAUGACCUAACCACUUCCCCUCAAAAAAAAAAAAAAAAAACCACAAAAAAAAACCAAAAAAAAACCCACCGUCAUACUGAGAAAACAAUUCCAUUACUGUCUACUGCUCUAAAAUUCAAUGACAGAAGCAACACAAACAAUUAGAUUUCCCCUGUUGAUUUUUAUAGCUUGCAUGUUACAGAAGUGGUAACUUCCCGCUGAUUUCACUCCAGUAUGGAUCAGGCAUCAUUCACAGCAAUCACAGGAACCAAACCCAUGGGAGACACAAUUUUUGUGAACUUUGUUUUUCCUGUCUACAACACAAACCCCAUUUAAUUCUUAAACACUAAAAUUAGAAUUAUCUUUAUUUACAUUUCUAAUGUCAUUUUAGUAAUUUCCCACCUCUAUCAUUUGAAUUUGUUCAAUGAUAUUUCCACCUUGAAAACAUGCUAAUAUUAACAUUUGAAGCCAUGGAAUAAAUACAAGUUGAGUGCCUGGAUUUCCCAUGACACUGCUGUUGGAGAGGGUGCUGAUCUGUAUUCCAGAGCAAUUGUAGGACAGGCAGGUUGUCACUGGACUUAAUUUCAAGACUUGAUAAAACUGCUGCAUUUAGGAAAAAAUAUUUAGCUGUGUCAAUUAUAUUUUGACUUCUGAGGCUUGCAACUAUGUCAUGGCAGAAUGCUGAAAAAGAGACAGCUGUGUCUAUGAUGGAAAGCACUCAUAUAAGUAUAUUGGUUAAAAAAGCAAACACAUUAGAGGUAACAGAAUGUCUAUUUUUAAGCAGCAAAAGAAGAUUUUUAGUAUCUAUCAAGGAUGUCAGUAAUUCUUUUUCCAGAUUUGUUGGUCAUUUUCUUGUUUGAAAAUAAGGGUCACGUUCUGCCAUAGCCUUUCUUUGCAGGUAAAUGGGCUGGAUAACAGCUACAGGCAUUUUUCUGCAUGUGGAAAUUGAAUAAAGACAGUCCAGGCUCCUCCCUGGAGCCAGAAACCAGCCGCAGAGCCAGCCACACUGCCCAUCGAAGUUGCAGCUACAAUUGAUUUUAAAUAAUUCAGUGGCAAUUAUUCCAGAAUAAAACCUUCUUCUUUGACGAAGUGAUCUGAUGCUAGGCUGUAGUUAGUGUUGUCAAGUGUUAGUGCAAGAGACCUUACCCCGGGGCUGGUGCCUGGAGCCCGAGGAGUCCCCAGUGCCCUCAGCGUGGGGCACUCCAGGCGAACCACUGGGGGGUUUUCAAUAUAUUUUUUAAAAUUUGGUGUUUCUGAAGCGGCAACUUUCAGGUUAGACCCAGCAACAGGGUGUCUACUGUAGUGAGCCAAGAGCCCUGGUAGGGGCUGGGAAGGCUCCGAGCGCCUCUCCGACAGCCCGGGGCUGCGAAGUGCAGCCCCGCAGCUGCGGCCGGGGACCGCUGCCCGCCGCCACAGAGCGGGGCCACCUCCCGGGGCUGCGGCCAUCCCCUUGUCCCCGCGCUUCCCCAGCACCUGGGCAGGAUCAGCCCGUCCCAGGCAUUCAUGGCCGUUCUGCAAACUAAGUGUCGAAAGCUCCCGCAAAGCAACAAGCAAAAACCUGCAAAGGGGAAAAGGCUAUAAUCAAGCAGCAGAGCUUCGGGGAUUUGGAGACGAGCGUGGAGUUCGGAUCAAAUGGGAUUUAAAUGUAAACAGCAGUAACUGCAUAUGAUCAAUAAUCACCCCGUGGGCAUUCCUCUACUCAUUUAACAUCAGCUAGGACAGUGCAAAUAUUGCAAGUGAGUACUCGACAAGGAAAUCAACUGAGCAUGUUUAAACUGUAGUUAAUUAUUAAUAUGAACAAUUCUUUUCAAUUAAAUGUUUCGUUUAAUCCCCUCACAUCGCCUUGUCUAGGAAGCUACAUGUCUAGCUUUCAAAAUGAUAAUGUGGGUGCAGACUUAUUCUGAGGAAUUUGAUAUAAUCCAUAUAAUAUCAUUCGUGCAAUGAAUUAUCAUCUUGACUCUUCUCUUUGUCCUAACCAACUGAGGCAACGAACACUUUUUCUGUAAAUACUUAUGACGGUUUUUAGAUGCUAAAAGUAAUUUUGUCAGGAAGGUCCCUCAAAGUGCAGGGGAAAACCACAUCUCGGUGAAGCUACAAGUCCUGGAAAUGUGAGUUCAAAAGGAAAAGCAGCUCAUGUAUCCAACAAUAACUUUGAAAUAAAUUAAUUGUAACUAGUA
Molecule: non-coding RNA, 3984 nt
Organism: Taeniopygia guttata (zebra finch)
Lineage: Eukaryota; Metazoa; Chordata; Aves; Passeriformes; Estrildidae
Source: RefSeq, a predicted model, not a curated record